This 83-nucleotide transfer RNA is filed under the name Mycobacterium phage Fezzik. RNAcentral's name for it is "tRNA-Tyr". It matches the Rfam family "tRNA". From Rfam's summary of the family: Transfer RNA (tRNA) molecules are approximately 80 nucleotides in length. Their secondary structure includes four short double-helical elements and three loops (D, anti-codon, and T loops). RNAcentral also lists the same sequence under 2 other names. The record is from RNAcentral. Lineage: Duplodnaviria; Heunggongvirae; Uroviricota; Caudoviricetes; Vilmaviridae.
GCGUCGGAGGUACCUGUUGGUUUGGUACACCUGCCUGUAAAGCAGGCGCUUCGGCUUCGGGGGUUCGAUUCCCUCCCGGCGUA